AAGACUGUAGCAUAAUUGGUUAAUGCAGUUCGCUCAUAAUGGAUUUUAUAAGGGUUCAAUUCCCUUCGGUCUUA
Molecule: transfer RNA, 74 nt
Organism: Rhizopogon vesiculosus
Lineage: Eukaryota; Fungi; Basidiomycota; Agaricomycetes; Boletales; Rhizopogonaceae
Rfam family: tRNA
About the family: Transfer RNA (tRNA) molecules are approximately 80 nucleotides in length. Their secondary structure includes four short double-helical elements and three loops (D, anti-codon, and T loops). Further hydrogen bonds mediate the characteristic L-shaped molecular structure. tRNAs have two regions of fundamental functional importance: the anti-codon, which is responsible for specific mRNA codon recognition, and the 3' end, to which the tRNAs corresponding amino acid is attached (by aminoacyl-tRNA synthetases). tRNAs cope with the degeneracy of the genetic code in two manners: having more than one tRNA (with a specific anti-codon) for a particular amino acid; and 'wobble' base-pairing, i.e. permitting non-standard base-pairing at the 3rd anti-codon position.
Source: Rfam